AAAUAUUAGUAUUAUUUAUUUGUAUAAAACAAGUGGCUUAUUUUGUUAAUGAAUCCUUUGAACCUGAGAUGAAAGUGAAAACUUUUGGCAAAACAGUAUGAUGCCUACCUGUCCUUUCUCUUUUCUCGGACUGCUCAAACUAAAUAGUCAACUGGGCAUGUAAAAAAAUCUCUUUUCAUUGCCUCCCCCAAAUUCACAUACCCAAGAACUAGUGAAUUUGAAGAUAUCAGGUGGGGCCUGUAGGAAGCCUCAGACACUGGCAAUUGGGCAAAAAAAUAUUUGUAGAGCUGCUUGCAAGCAAAACCUUUUAUGUCUCAGAAAGUUAACGUUAUCUCCUUCCCUAGGAUAAACCUGGAAGGUACUGAUCGAAGGUUUCUGUGGAAGAAACCUGUUGUUGGAAACUCUCAGAACCUCCCAGACUACGAAAACACCACAGAUGACCCGCAUUCCCAGGGACUUUUGAGCUCAGAGCUGGAUGUCUGUGUUGAAGAGAAGGGAAAAGCCAAGUGCAGGGGGUGACAGAGGAGGAACGGAAGCCCUGCCGCCUGCAGGGGGCUUCCUGUUGUGGCUGUAAGAAGGAAGACCAGGCAGGGGAUGGGCAGUCUAGAUGCAAAGCUCUGGGGCUGAGUCAAGAUGCUUCUAAAUUUCAAAGUCAGGAUUUCGAAAAGUACCAGACCUUCAGAGAAAUGUUCCGUUUUAAUCUUGCCUAAUAUAUCAAUACUUCUAGAUCCCGUGAUCAAACCUAGAGCUAGAACCUCCUAGAUCGUACAACAGAGGCUGGAGAUAAAAGAGUGACACAGGAUUAAUGACGGGGAAAAACACCUUGUGACAAUCGAGGCAGAGAUUGGAGGGAUGCAGUCACCAGUCAAGGAGUGCCAAGGGCUGCCAACAGCAGCACAGGAGGACAGCAGAUGUAAAAAGCUCAGGUGAGGGAGCAAGCCCUGGGGCUCUCUCUGAACAGCGGAGAAACCCACCAGGAGCUCAGGAAGCCUGAAGAAAAGAGGCUGCUUUCCAGGGCCCGCCAGAAGUAUACUUUGUGAUCUCUGUGGCUC
This is a long non-coding RNA of Bos taurus (domestic cattle), 1052 nucleotides long. Lineage: Eukaryota; Metazoa; Chordata; Mammalia; Artiodactyla; Bovidae. The record is from Ensembl.